GCAGCGCUGCUGGAGCUCAGUGCUGAAGGUCUGAUUAAUGUGGGCUGAUUUCUUCCAGGAAACACUCGUAAGGAGACGAUCAUCGCGAUGCAGAAGAUGGGUUAUCAGUCGGACCAUAUUAAAGUGUGGAAACGAGCCCAAGAGAAGAGGAAGAAGGAGGUUCAGGACCGGACUACAACUACCUGCUGAACAUGCCCGUGUGGUUCCUCACCUCAGAGAAGAAGGAGGUUCAGGGGAAAGAGGGCGGAGCCGAGGAGGUAAAGAGGAAGAACCGGACCUGGCCUACGCCUCAGGAAUGUGUCACCGGGGUGCGUUUAAUACAGAUUUAUAAGAGUUUAAUGAUUUAUCUUAUCAAUAAACACAUUAUUAGAUUAAAUAUUGAAUAGGGU
This 389-nucleotide long non-coding RNA is filed under the name Astyanax mexicanus (Mexican tetra). RNAcentral describes it as "lncRNA (ENSAMXG00005005502.1)". Lineage: Eukaryota; Metazoa; Chordata; Actinopteri; Characiformes; Acestrorhamphidae. The record is from RNAcentral.